Molecule: ribosomal RNA, 409 nt
Filed under: Actinomycetes bacterium
Lineage: Bacteria; Bacillati; Actinomycetota; Actinomycetes
Description: Actinobacteria bacterium partial 16S ribosomal RNA
Rfam family: Bacterial small subunit ribosomal RNA
Source: RNAcentral
UGGGGAAUAUUGCACAAUGGGCGGAAGCCUGAUGCAGCGACGCCGCGCGGGGGAUGAAGGCCUUCGGGUUGUAAACUCCUUUCGACAGGGACGAAGCUUUUGUGACGGUACCUGUAUAAGAAGCACCGGCUAACUACGUGCCAGCAGCCGCGGUAAUACGUAGGGUGCGAGCGUUGUCCGGAAUUACUGGGCGUAAAGAGCUCGUAGGUGGUUUGUCGCGUCGUCUGUGAAAUUCCGGGGCUUAACUCCGGGCGUGCAGGCGAUACGGGCUGACUUGAGUGCUGUAGGGGAGACUGGAAUUCCUGGUGUAGCGGUGAAAUGCGCAGAUAUCAGGAGGAACACCGAUGGCGAAGGCAGGUCUCUGGGCAGUAACUGACGCUGAGGAGCGAAAGCAUGGGUAGCGAACAGG